Long non-coding RNA from Triticum aestivum (bread wheat), 610 nucleotides. RefSeq lists it as uncharacterized. NCBI's taxonomy places the organism in Eukaryota, Viridiplantae, Streptophyta, Magnoliopsida, Poales, Poaceae. The record is from RefSeq and is a predicted model, not a curated record. The transcript is spliced from 2 exons.
CCCCUCGUUCGAUUUUCUGAAAAAUCUUGAUCUACCGUGACCUAGAGAGCCAUCACGAUCUCGCCGGAGUUCACCGUUGCCUGAAGCUUUCGCUGGAUGAUGCUAACGCAACAAAAGACAUGCAUCGGAGAAGCCUCACCGACGACCAUCGGAUCUCACCAGAGCCGCCCGUCGCUCCAGCCAGCUGCUGCAGUCAUGACAGGAGGCUCCCUACUACGCCGUUGCCGCCAUCACCAAUGCCUUCCCGCGCCGUGCCUCGUCCGAUCCUCCUCGGAGUCCGGCGACCACCAAGACGAGCACCACGACCACUUCCCUACACCGCGCUGUCGUCUUCCCCAAGUCCGGUCGGCACCCUCUAUUUUUUUCGAUGAGCAUCUUCGUCCGUCCGAUCUGGAUUCAACGCCCAUAUUUGAUCCUCUAUUUUUUCUGCGGCAUAGGUUAUUUAGUUCGUUCAUUAGUUUACUUUAGUAGCAAACAUCCGCCGAUUGUCCGAUCAAGAUCUGACCGUUCGUGUAGAUUUGUUUUUUUCUUUUCUUUCAUCCGAAUAAUUCUGUCUAGUAGUUGGCCGUCCGUCCAUAGUGGUGGAACACUCGCCUCAUUGGCCCAAUCA